This 762-nucleotide ribosomal RNA is filed under the name Escherichia coli. RNAcentral's name for it is "partial 23S ribosomal RNA". It matches the Rfam family "Bacterial large subunit ribosomal RNA", at positions 165 to 968 of the family's 2925-position model. The record is from RNAcentral. Lineage: Bacteria; Pseudomonadati; Pseudomonadota; Gammaproteobacteria; Enterobacterales; Enterobacteriaceae.
CAUAGGUUAAUGAGGCGAACCGGGGGAACUGAAACAUCUAAGUACCCCGAGGAAAAGAAAUCAACCGAGAUUCCCCCAGUAGCGGCGAGCGAACGGGGAGGAGCCCAGAGCCUGAAUCAGUGUGUGUGUUAGUGGAAGCGUCUGGAAAGGCGCGCGAUACAGGGUGACAGCCCCGUACACAAAAAUGCACAUAUUGUGAGCUCGAUGAGUAGGGCGGGACACGUGGUAUCCUGUCUGAAUAUGGGGGGACCAUCCUCCAAGGCUAAAUACUCCUGACUGACCGAUAGUGAACCAGUACCGUGAGGGAAAGGCGAAAAGAACCCCGGCGAGGGGAGUGAAAAAGAACCUGAAACCGUGUACGUACAAGCAGUGGGAGCCUCUUAAUGGGGUGACUGCGUACCUUUUGUAUAAUGGGUCAGCGACUUAUAUUCUGUAGCAAGGUUAACCGAAUAGGGGAGCCGAAGGGAAACCGAGUCUUAACUGGGCGUUAAGUUGCAGGGUAUAGACCCGAAACCCGGUGAUCUAGCCAUGGGCAGGUUGAAGGUUGGGUAACACUAACUGGAGGACCGAACCGACUAAUGUUGAAAAAUUAGCGGAUGACUUGUGGCUGGGGGUGAAAGGCCAAUCAAACCGGGAGAUAGCUGGUUCUCCCCGAAAGCUAUUUAGGUAGCGCCUCGUGAAUUCAUCUCCGGGGGUAGAGCACUGUUUCGGCAAGGGGGUCAUCCCGACUUACCAACCCGAUGCAAACUGCGAAUACCGGAG